CACUCUCACUACAUACAUACGUGUAUGUUGUCGGCGAUUAGCCUAGCAAUGAUCUUAAUUGUGGUUAUUUGUCAGCCCAAAACCCUCUAAGUAUAUCUUAAAUGCAUCUUACCGGAUAUAAAAUGACUACUACAUAGUCUGUGGUGAUUUUUUGGUGCCCAGUUUUCACGUCGAAUUGCAGCCGUCCAUUUCGCUCUCCUCUUUGGAUCCCUCGGAAUACGGUAAAACUUCAAGUCUCUCCUUCCAUCUUCUCUGUUAGUGCAACCAACAGCCAAACACGCCUUCACCAUUUUGAUUAUUAAUGUUAAGGAGCAGAAAAACACGCCGUAAAUAGGAGGAAUGUACGUAGCCGUAACAGGUUAACACUAUGUUUUGACGGACAAUUGGGCGGUACCAUUCAGGAGAGCGGAGUUGUGACGUCACGUGGGUAGGGUCUAUAUAUAGAGCUAAAAGGCAGCGUAUAAUUAGUAGAGAGAAUUUUGACAGCCUUUGAAGCCAUUUUGUAUUUGGCUGGAGCCUUACAAUCCCUCUCUCAGCAAUUAAAAAUAUUGUGAGCGGUAAUGUGGGUAAGAAAGGUAGUAGUUGAUCAUUUUCUUAACACCCUAUGUUCUUUCCCAACGCAGAGAAGAUAUAUGAAAUGGUGCCCCUACGCACAGUCAUGGUUGCACUUCCCAUCAUGCAUUUGGGCAGAACAGUUAAAUGGGUGCAGUAUCAUUUACUGAAAGCUCAACAAAUACACUAGAUGGCAAUAUUUAGUCACAAUAUACAAAGUCACAUUUAUCCUUUAAGAAUUACAAGUCUUUCUAUCCGUGGAUCCCUCCCACAGAAAGAAUGUUAAUAAUGUAAAUGCCAUCUUGAGGAUUUAUUGUCAUAAUAAACAAAUACAGUACUUAUGUACUGUAUGUUGAAUGUAUAUAUUCGUCCGAGUUUUAUUCAUUUUUUUCUUAAUGCAUCGCCAAAAUGUAUAUGAUCGGGAAAAAUUAUCGGGAAUGAUUGGAAUUGAAUCGGGAGCAAAAAAAAAAAAAAAAAGCAAUCGGAUCGGGAAAUAUCGGGAUCGGCAGAUACUCACACUAAAACGAUCGGGAUCGGAUCGGGAGCAAAAAAAACAUGAUCGGAACAACCCUAAGUUACAAAAUAUGGGAAGACAAUCUAAAUAACCUAUAUAACUGAAGACAUUAUAUAAUGCAACUAAGGUUUCUUAAAAGUGGGGACAAUUUAAGAAUACUGAAAAGUUGGUAGUGUUAUGUCCCUACCAUCAAACGUGGAGAUUAUGGGAGGGUGGCUUAAAAUGUCAUUGCAUAUAAUUGACUUUCCAAUACUAUAUAGGAAUUUGAAAUUAAGAUUUUGCCGGUAAAAUGUUGUCAAUAAAAGUUCUAAAGCAAUAAAACUAACAACAAAAAUGAAUGAAAUGAACAAAAAAAAAAUAAUGGGUCAAAAUUAUUUUUCAAACAUCACGUGACUAGCAUCUUAUAGAAGGCCAUUUGCUUUGCUUAACCCCCCCCCCCCCCCCCCAAAAAAAAAACACCUGAGGACAGAAGAAGCAAGAUGGGUAUUGGUAAUUUUUUUCAAACCUAAGCUUUCAAAAGAAACAACAACUACUGAGCGGGAACCAAGGAUUGAAGAUGUGGCCCAUGAGACGCUGGCGCCGGAGUUUCAGUUUGCUCCACUGAAGAUGUUAACCCUCAAAAAUCAUGGGGGGGGGGAACGCUCAUUUUCAACAUAUUACCGUAUUGGCCCGAAUAUAAGACGGCCCUGAUUAUAAGACGACCCCCUCUUUUUCAAGACUCAAGUUUGAAAAAAUGCUUUUUGAACACCAAAUUAGUUUUUAUACAGAAAAUAAUUACAGUACAUCCGAAACAAACGAUUAUAACAAUAAACUUGAGAGAAAAAGCAUGUUAUUUUGCCUCAUUCAAAUCUUAAUAUCUGAACAUUUAAAUAUGUAAACUAAAGUGCAAUCACAUUCGUAAAUGAAUGGCUUCUGGUUUUUGAAAUGUAAAUAAACCAAUCUAUUGUGAUAAAACAGCAAAAUUGCAAUAACUGCAUUAACCAUCAAAGUGAAGUAUAACUGUAACUGUAGUCUUGAAACAAAUCCGAGUAAGGAAAAACAUUGCAAUAAAAUAAUGCAAACUGGUUAAACUUGAGAGUAGCCGAGAUCUGUCAUGACAGAACAUCGCUUCAAUGAUAUCUGGCGCCAUCUAGCGUCGUGAAUGGGGAGAGUAGCUGAGAUCUGUCAUGACAGAACACCGCUUCAAUGAUAUCUGGCGCCAUCUAGGGUCGUGAACGGGUAUAAUGUCUAGACCGUGAAUAUAAGACGACUUGCCUGGCACGGCCAGACUGUUUGCCCUGUGUUUUUCAAACACUGAGAGUAUAGUCUGGGACCCAGCCCAUUAACGGCCUCUCGAGCAAGUACAAAAUCAAUCGACAAAUCUGAUUCGUUUAUUUGCGUGACGUGUUCUUGACGAGCAACGUCACUCUUCCGCGUCGGAAGUCGUCUCCACAACAACACAGAUGGCGAACAGGAGAGCCGAGUAUAUGUUCCAAUCCACGGUAAAAUCAGUUUUAAAUGACCAAAAACACAUCGACACAAGUAAUUGACAACAGUCUGUCUCGCGCUAGCCAUGUUGAAUAAACUCCGCUCUCCUCGUAUGUUUACUUCCGCGCGCAAGUCCUUCGUUCCGCCCGAUGCUGAUUGGUCCACUCCGCUGUCUGUUUGCUGUGGCUUGCUCAGCCCUGGAAAUUUUAUCUGCUUAAUGGUGGCCAGACUCAAUAGCUGGAACAGUGGUGAGUCUGGAGUACCAGGCUAUAAGACGACCCCCUCUUUUCCACUCUUAUUUCAAUGCAAAAAACACCGUCUUAUAUUCAGGCCAAUACGGUAUUAUAAAUGUUCCUGGUUGGAAUAUUCAGUCAAAACGGAUGCAGCGUCUACUUCUCCACUAGGUAAGACUGGAAUACGCGCGCACUCACGCACGCACACACAGCUGGGAUGCCUGUAUGUACGAGCUUGAGCUAAGCUACUAUCCGAGCAUAUAUCUUGUAAGGUAAUUUUAUUGCUGACUCUGCGUUUCGGGGUCAUCAACUUUUUUGAAAAGUUGCCACCGUCCAAAAACUGUGCGCUAUAUUAUUAUAAAACUAAUAAUACAACAAUACUCUAAUGAUAAUUAAUUUGGAAAUAAUAAUAUAUAAUAUUUAUGGGUUUAAUUAUGAAUUAUCAAAUAAUUACAAUUAUUAAAUAAUCACUUGCCUUAUAAAGGGAUUAAAAUUUUACAUGUCAAUUAUUUGAAUAGCUGUCCACUGUAGCAAUCACUGUCCCUUAAAGGGUUAAAAAAAAAAAAAAAAAAAAACUUUUGACAUGACAUUUUGGCCCGUGUUCACUGCUCCAUUGCUUCCAUCCAUUCUGAUUUAAAGUGCGCGCUCCCUUUUAUUUAUGGUCGCAGGGGCGCGCGCAGUCACAUCCAGGGAUCGAGACGUCUGCACUUCAUUUGGUCUGGAAAGACGCAGGCAGGCAGAGCCAAGUUUAGGGGUCACCUCAAACAGCCACUUGGAUGUUUGAUUUUUAAAUUUUUUUUUUAUGUGGAUUAUAUCGAGAAACUGCUGAUUCUGCGGUAGUUCACUGUGAAUGGCAUCACUUUCUCACAUAUUUCUGAAGAACUAAAUAACUAGGUUACUUCUAGCCUGGUUCUCAUUUAUGGCUUGGAAGUAAAAUAUUUUUUUCGAGGCAUGGUUGUGAGCUCCAGCCGAGAGCAGGGAGCGACACCCGGGCUCCGUCAGUGUACCCUCGCCCCUUCCCGGAGCCUCCUCGGCGGACCUGCGAGGAGAUGAGACCCGUGCUCUACCAAGUCCUCGCCGGCUGUCUUUGCCUCUUACGAGCUGCCGCUGAGGAGUCUCAAAUUCCCCGGGAGCUCGUGGAGCGUCUCUCCCGAAGCGACAUCCGGAGCAUCAACGACCUCCAGCGGCUGCUCGAGAUAGACACCGUAGAAAACCAAGUGAUUGAAGAGACCAAACACGACUAUGGCAAGGUCGUCUCUCACGCCUUCGUGGACUUCAAGCGUGCGUACACGCAUGCACGUUACAGGCGAAGUACUGUGGUCGAGGAGGCGUUGCCGGCAGGCUGCAAGGUACGGAGCACCAUCUACGAGAUCCCUCGCAGUCAAGUGGACCCCACUGCUGCCAACUUCAUCAUUUGGCCGCCGUGCGUGGAGGUCAAACGCUGCACGGGCUGCUGCAACACUAGCAACAUGCGGUGUCAGGCGGCCCGCAAGCACCACCGCACCGUCAGGGUGGCGAAAGUAGAGUAUAUUCGCCGUCGACCCAAAUUAAGAGAGGUGCAGGUCCGACUGGAGGACCACCUGGAGUGCGCAUGCGCCUACAAGCGGCAGCUCGCACCAAUCUCGAACACAGACAACGGCAUCAGGUGAACACAACGGACAGUCGUUGGAAUUAGAGCAGCAGUUGGGACAACAAGAACAAGAUAAGGAUAUACACACUCUUAAGCCUUCUAGCAUUCUGUUUACGGAAUUUUCCAUAGAGGAAGUAAUGAUGUCAUCUUUCAAGACCUAUGAUGGAUUUUUUGACCCCCAAGACGUGCGGGCCAACUGAAGGCCUGGAUAAAGAAUCGGGAUGAGAAGCGAGGUGGGACUUCUUGUAUAACCCUCUCAUCGUCUUGGAUUAUAAACUGGGAUGAAUCCUCUCCGGAGGCUGGGAUUAAGACUUUUUAUAUAUAUAUGUUCUGACAUUUAUCUUGCACAACGUGUACGCUCAUGUUUGUAUAACCCUCUAUCUUGUGAUUUGUUACCGUCACAAGGACGGCAGGGAAACACCCUCCUGACAUGUAACCGUAACUAAUAAACUAUUUAUACGGGAGUAUGUUUCUCUAAAAGGAAUACAACAGGCUAGUGUGUGUGUGUGUGUGCGGUGGUGCGUGUGUCUGUGUGAGAGGGAGAUUAUGUGCAGGAUCAUAAUGCUGAAAUUUCCACCCAGUUGUAAGUGAGAACAGCACGCAACGACAAGACCCCAUAAGAAGACUGCUAAGGGGAAGGAAAACGAGGCUGUCUGCCAGAUAGUCGAAGCUAAACAAAGGAUGGAGGCUGCAACAAGACAAUGAUCCAAAACACAGAAGUAAAUCAACUUCAGAAUGGUUUCAGAAGAACAAAAUACACGUUCUGGAGUGGCCAAAUCAAAGUCCAGACUUGAACCCUAUUGAGAUGCUGUGGCAUGACCUAAAGACAGCGAUUCAUGCCAAACAUCCCAGGAAUCUGACUGAACUACAGCAGUUUUGUAGAGAAGAAUGGGCCUGAUCGAUGUGCCAGACUGAUCUGCAGCCACAGUAAGAGUCUGGUUGAAGUUAUUGCUGCCAAAGGGGGGCCCACAAAAUAUUAAAUGUAAUGGUUCACUUACUUAUUUCCCCCCUUCUGUCAUUGUUUGCAUACUAUCCUCAUUAAAAUAUGAAAACCUAUAAAUGUUUGGGUGGUUUUAGUUGAAGCAGAUACUGUUUUAUCAUCUGUGUGAUUCUGACAAAGAUCGGAUCACAUUUGAUGGUGAU
RNA transcript from Corythoichthys intestinalis (scribbled pipefish), 5539 nucleotides. It is a transcript of the gene named platelet-derived growth factor subunit A-like, with no coding region annotated. The record is from RefSeq and is a predicted model, not a curated record. The transcript is spliced from 7 exons. Lineage: Eukaryota; Metazoa; Chordata; Actinopteri; Syngnathiformes; Syngnathidae.